Molecule: ribosomal RNA, 253 nt
Filed under: uncultured bacterium
Lineage: Bacteria
Description: partial 16S ribosomal RNA
Rfam family: Bacterial small subunit ribosomal RNA
Source: RNAcentral
UACGUAGGGUGCAAGCGUUAUCCGGAAUUAUUGGGCGUAAAGAGCUCGUAGGCGGUUUGUCGCGUCUGCUGUGAAAACCCGAGGCUCAACCUCGGGCCUGCAGUGGGUACGGGCAGACUAGAGUGCGGUAGGGGAGAUUGGAAUUCCUGGUGUAGCGGUGGAAUGCGCAGAUAUCAGGAGGAACACCGAUGGCGAAGGCAGACCUCUGGGCAGUAACUGACGCUGAGGAGCGAAAGCGUGGGGAGCGAACAGG